Molecule: long non-coding RNA, 384 nt
Filed under: Anser cygnoides (Swan goose)
Lineage: Eukaryota; Metazoa; Chordata; Aves; Anseriformes; Anatidae
Description: lncRNA (ENSACDG00005005588.1)
Source: RNAcentral
AAAUCUGACCCUAUUUUCCCUCUGUCUUUGCCACUCACUCACUCCUGCUCCCCCUCCAUCUUCCCCCACCCUCCCUCCUGCCGCCCCAGUCAUGGCAGGACCACAGCUAUAGCCUCUGUAUAUUCCUUCCAGGACUCUAACAGCUUUAAUGGGAACAGUGCUGGGGAUGGCAGCUUCAACAACAAUGGGAAUGGCUUCGAGCCCCCAGUCAUCUAUGAUCCUGUGGGUGAUGCAGGGAACCAUGGCAGCUUCGACUGGAAUAGGGUUGGUGACCGCAGCUUCAAUGACAAUGGGGUAAGAAUUGAGGUCCUCCCUGGGAUAACUAAGGAGGGAUUUGGGGGAGGUAACCCACAAUGUAUUCAGUUUCUCCUUUGCUUAGGGUAA